Molecule: ribosomal RNA, 426 nt
Filed under: uncultured bacterium
Lineage: Bacteria
Description: partial 16S ribosomal RNA
Rfam family: Bacterial small subunit ribosomal RNA
Source: RNAcentral
GUGAGGAAUUUUCCGCAAUGGGCGAAAGCCUGACGGAGCAAUGUCGCGUGAAGGAUGAAGGCCUAUGGGUUGUAAACUUCUUUUCUCAGAAAAGAAUUAUGACGGUAUCUGAGGAAUAAGCAUCGGCUAACUCUGUGCCAGCAGCCGCGGUAAGACAGAGGAUGCAAGCGUUAUCCGGAAUGAUUGGGCGUAAAGCGUCUGUAGGUUGUUUAAAAAGUAUUCUGUCAAAGAUUAGGGCUUAACCCUAGAUAGGCAGAAUAAACUUUUAAGCUAGAGUGUGGUAGAGGCAGAGGGAAUUCCCGGUGGAGCGGUGAAAUGCGUAGAUAUCGGGAGGAACACCAAAGGCGAAGGCACUCUGCUGGGCCAAUACUAACACUGAGAGACGAAAGCGAGGGGAGCAAAUGGGAUUAGAUACCCCAGUAGUCC